This 69-nucleotide ribosomal RNA is filed under the name Candidatus Bathyarchaeota archaeon. The record is from RNAcentral. Lineage: Archaea; Thermoproteati; Candidatus Bathyarchaeota.
UUUGCCGGCCAUAGGGCGCGGGACCCACCCGAUCCCAUUCCGAACUCGGAAGUUAAACCGCGCUCCGUU